AUACGUAGGGGGCGAGCGUUGUCCGGAAUGAUUGGGCGUAAAGGGCGCGUAGGCGGCCCGGUAAGUCUGGAGUGAAAGUCCUGUUUUUAAGAUGGGAAUUGCUUUGGAUACUGUCGGGCUUGAGUGCAGGAGAGGUAAGUGGAAUUCCCAGUGUAGCGGUGAAAUGCGUAGAGAUUGGGAGGAACACCAGUGGCGAAGGCGACUUACUGGACUGUAACUGACGCUGAGGCGCGAAAGUGUGGGGAGCAAACAGGAUUAGAUACCCUGGUAGUCCACACUGUAAACGAUGAAUGCUAGGUGUAAGAGGUAUCGACCCCUUUUGUGCCGGAGUUAACACAAUAAGCAUUCCGCCUGGGGAGUACGGCCGCAAGGUUGAAACUUAAAGGAAUUGACGGGG
Molecule: ribosomal RNA, 397 nt
Filed under: uncultured bacterium
Lineage: Bacteria
Description: partial 16S ribosomal RNA
Rfam family: Bacterial small subunit ribosomal RNA
Source: RNAcentral